RNAcentral lists this non-coding RNA (53 nucleotides) under Minicystis rosea. RNAcentral describes it as "Guanidine-II sequence". It matches the Rfam family "Guanidine-II riboswitch aptamer (mini-ykkC)". From Rfam's summary of the family: Simpler in structure and has fewer highly conserved nucleotide positions than the ykkC-yxkD leader. Lineage: Bacteria; Pseudomonadati; Myxococcota; Polyangiales; Polyangiaceae. The record is from RNAcentral.
GCUCGAGGACGACCUCGAGCAGCGUGCAAAGGAGCUUGUCGAGGACGAUCUCG